This 1152-nucleotide long non-coding RNA is filed under the name Cricetulus griseus (Chinese hamster). Its description in RNAcentral is "lncRNA (ENSCGRG00015040595.1)". Lineage: Eukaryota; Metazoa; Chordata; Mammalia; Rodentia; Cricetidae. The record is from RNAcentral.
CAAAGCUACAUAGAGAAAUCCUACCUUAAAAAAAAAAAAAGAAAGAAAAAAAAACAAAAGAAAAACUAAAAACAAAUGAACUGAAUCUCUAGACAUUUUUCUUUCUUUUUCCUUUCUUCCCAUGGUGAAUGGCCACUGAGCUGGGGUUUCCAGGGAUUCAGGGCAUCCUUGGCCCUGGUUGGCUGGAGGAAACAUGAGUAUCUGGCCACAGUUCAGGAGUGAUGUUAGCUCUGGCCAGUAUUCUGAGCUCUCUUUCUUCCCUUCUUAAGGUUUAAAGUCACCUGGUAAUGAUAUCAAGGCCAUUUUAACUUUGAGAGUCUUACUCAUAUUAAGGCAGAGCAUUUUCCCAGGCCUGAUGACCUCUGAGAUGAUCAACCUUGUAGGCAGCUUCAAAACUGCUACGGUCAGGGCCCACCUGGGCUGUAGUGGAGGUUUGGUCAGCUUUGGAGCCCAAGUUGUGUCAAGGGAAUGCCAUGCCAAGAUGGAAAAGAGGAAGAUGACUGGUGAGGGUAGACUGAAGACUCACCAAGGCCUAGUACCUGACUUCAGAAGAAUAGAGUAGGGGAAGCUAUGAAGGGAAAGUCCUUCUUGGUGGCCAGAAUUAGCUGAAAGGGGUACCAGCCAGUUGACCUAGGUGAGCUUGUAUUUGAGAGCAACCACCACAGUUCACGGUUUUCAUUGUAAGGGGCGACUCUAAAGAUCUGAGUCCUCUUUAGUGGAUCCUUCUAGAUUCUUGAAUAGGAUGCCUUUUGGAAUAGCCCAUGUGUUCCAAACUGGAGGCUUGGGAUCCUGUUUAUCUUCAUCCUAAGGUCACAUGUUCAUGUCUUCCAAGAAUUCAAGGACAUAUCUGAUCUGCCUUUCCAGGGUGUUCUCAUGGGGUGGGGUGGAUGUGGCCUGGUCAGCGAAUGCAGAACCUUGAGCUUAUGUUUCAACUGAGUCUGGAGCAAGGCAUCAGUGACAAAUGGCCAAGAUGACCUGUGCCAGUCAAAGCCAGAUUCUAGACUAGAGAAGGUGAAUUAAGAGAAGGAGGCCUUCACUAGGAUGGCAGAUAUGGUGGAUGGAUGGAGCCUUGCCCAAGAUCCUGAAGGUGACAGCCCUGUACUGCCUUCUUCAUAUUUCAUGAAUGGCUAAAAAUAAACUUCUGUUUUAAAC